CGGAGCUAAUACCGGAUAAUAUUUUGAACCGCAUGGUUCAAAAGUGAAAGACGGUCUUGCUGUCACUUAUAGAUGGAUCCGCGCUGCAUUAGCUAGUUGGUAAGGUAACGGCUUACCAAGGCAACGAUGCAUAGCCGACCUGAGAGGGUGAUCGGCCACACUGGAACUGAGACACGGUCCAGACUCCUACGGGAGGCAGCAGUAGGGAAUCUUCCGCAAUGGGCGAAAGCCUGACGGAGCAACGCCGCGUGAGUGAUGAAGGUCUUCGGAUCGUAAAACUCUGUUAUUAGGGAAGAACAUAUGUGUAAGUAACUGUGCACAUCUUGACGGUACCUAAUCAGAAAGCCACGGCUAACUACGUGCCAGCAGCCGCGGUAAUACGUAGGUGGCAAGCGUUAUCCGGAAUUAUUGGGCGUAAAGCGCGCGUAGGCGGUUUUUUAAGUCUGAUGUGAAAGCCCACGGCUCAACCGUGGAGGGUCAUUGGAAACUGGAAAACUUGAGUGCAGAAGAGGAAAGUGGAAUUCCAUGUGUAGCGGUGAAAUGCGCAGAGAUAUGGAGGAACACCAGUGGCGAAGGCGACUUUCUGGUCUGUAACUGACGCUGAUGUGCGAAAGCGUGGGGAUCAAACAGGAUUAGAUACCCUGGUAGUCCACGCCGUAAACGA
RNAcentral lists this ribosomal RNA (664 nucleotides) under Staphylococcus aureus. Its description in RNAcentral is "bacterial SSU rRNA". It matches the Rfam family "Bacterial small subunit ribosomal RNA", at positions 158 to 809 of the family's 1533-position model. The record is from RNAcentral. Lineage: Bacteria; Bacillati; Bacillota; Bacilli; Caryophanales; Staphylococcaceae.